GAGUUUGAUCCUGGCUCAGGAUGAACGCUAGCGGCAGGCCUAAUACAUGCAAGUCGAACGAUACCAGAGAGCUUGCUUUCUGGGAAAGUGGCGCACGGGUGCGUAACGCGUAUGCAACCUACCUUAAUCAGGGGGAUAGCCUCUCGAAAGAGAGAUUAACACCGCAUAAAAUCACAAGCUGGCAUCAGCAAAUGAUCAAAUAUUUAUAGGAUUAAGAUGGGCAUGCGUGACAUUAGUUUGUUGGUGAGGUAACGGCUCACCAAGACUACGAUGUCUAGGGGAUCUGAGAGGAUGACCCCCCACACUGGUACUGAGACACGGACCAGACUCCUACGGGAGGCAGCAGUAAGGAAUAUUGGUCAAUGGGGGCAACCCUGAACCAGCCAUGCCGCGUGCAGGAAGACGGCCCUACGGGUUGUAAACUGCUUUUAUACGGGAAUAAACCUCUUUACGUGUAAAGAGUUGAAUGUACUGUAAGAAUAAGGAUCGGCUAACUCCGUGCCAGCAGCCGCGGUAAUACGGAGGAUCCAAGCGUUAUCCGGAUUUAUUGGGUUUAAAGGGUGCGUAGGCGGCCUAUUAAGUCAGGGGUGAAAGACGGUGGCUCAACCAUCGCAGUGCCCUUGAUACUGAUGGGCUUGAUUACACUUGAGGUAGGCGGAAUGUGACAAGUAGCGGUGAAAUGCAUAGAUAUGUCACAGAACACCAAUUGCGAAGGCAGCUUACUAAGGUGUUAAUGACGCUGAGGCACGAAAGCGUGGGGAUCAAACAGGAUUAGAUACCCUGGUAGUCCACGCCCUAAACGAUGAAUACUCGAUGUUAG
This 820-nucleotide ribosomal RNA is filed under the name uncultured bacterium. RNAcentral's name for it is "bacterial SSU rRNA". It matches the Rfam family "Bacterial small subunit ribosomal RNA", at positions 9 to 826 of the family's 1533-position model. The record is from RNAcentral.